Molecule: long non-coding RNA, 622 nt
Filed under: Homo sapiens (human)
Lineage: Eukaryota; Metazoa; Chordata; Mammalia; Primates; Hominidae
Description: HSALNT0043389
Source: RNAcentral
AAAGAGAUGGAAAAUUUCAAACCACCAUCCCAGAAUCUCUUGGAACUCAAGGUCAGCUUCGGCAUUCCAGCCUGGAACAAUCCUCCCAGACCUGGAGGUCCGCCCCCUCCAAAACUUCCACCGCCUCCGCCACCACCUCCUCCGCCAAAUCCGCCGCCUCCACCAAAGCCACCACCACCGCCUCCAGCACCAGCUCCUUUAGGUUCUGUAGAAGAAGAGACACCCGACAGACUAUGCCCCCUGGUCUGGCCCAGGCAUUAGGUAUUUCUCCCAGAAAGUUCCCUGAAGCACUUCUAAUCCUUUACUUUGCAAAGAUUCUGCCUCAUUAUUCACUUGUUGACAAAGAUCCAUCUGGUGAUUUUGGAAGGAAUGGACUGGAGAAGCUAAAAAAGACACUGCUGGACUUGUCACAGCCGCCGGGAAACAAGAAUUAAGACAGUUCGGAAGAGUCCCAUUCAAAGUGGGCGGUCUAGAAAAUGAAAAUUUUAAAUUCCACAGCAGCAACAGCAGCUCUCAUGUAUGGAGAAUCUGCUGGAUCCAGGGCUCUAUCCUUGCGUGGUCUCUGACUCCUAAGACAGCGGAAGCCAGCAUCGCUGUGCUCAUUUGAUAGACUCAGAGAAAU